GCAGUAGGGAAUCUUCCGCAAUGGGCGAAAGCCUGACGGAGCAAUGCCGCGUGAGUGAUGAAGGUUUUCGGAUCGUAAAGCUCUGUUGCCAGGGAAGAACGCUUGGGAGAGUAACUGCUCUCAAGGUGACGGUACCUGAGAAGAAAGCCCCGGCUAACUACGUGCCAGCAGCCGCGGUAAUACGUAGGGGGCAAGCGUUGUCCGGAAUUAUUGGGCGUAAAGCGCGCGCAGGCGGUCAUUUAAGUCUGGUGUUUAAUCCCGGGGCUCAACCCCGGAUCGCACUGGAAACUGGGUGACUUGAGUGCAGAAGAGGAGAGUGGAAUUCCACGUGUAGCGGUGAAAUGCGUAGAUAUGUGGAGGAACACCAGUGGCGAAGGCGACUCUCUGGGCUGUAACUGACGCUGAGGCGCGAAAGCGUGGGGAGCAAACAGGAUUAGAUACCCCCYRRGAAUCNA
This 455-nucleotide ribosomal RNA is filed under the name Paenibacillus pabuli. RNAcentral's name for it is "bacterial SSU rRNA". Lineage: Bacteria; Bacillati; Bacillota; Bacilli; Caryophanales; Paenibacillaceae. The record is from RNAcentral.